Dermacentor albipictus is the source of this 2848-nucleotide long non-coding RNA. RefSeq lists it as uncharacterized. The record is from RefSeq and is a predicted model, not a curated record. NCBI's taxonomy places the organism in Eukaryota, Metazoa, Arthropoda, Arachnida, Ixodida, Ixodidae.
CGUCAUCCCUGGUGGGCGGGACGACAAAUUUUGAUGACGUCACACAGGUUGCCAAUCUUCUGGAAAGGAACCGGUUCCCUGCUAGGAGCGGAACCGCGGAGAAGUGGUUCGUUUGAGAGUCGCGCGCGGGGGCGAGCAUGAUGUCGAGGGUUGCUAGGGCAACCGCGGCUGCCGGCUAAUCUCGCGCCAGCUGACGAGCCGGCACCUAGACGAGACGAGACAGACGGCAAUGGCGGCUCCCUUGGUUGUGCUGCUGGCGAGUGCCGAAAGACAACGACGCGACGAGAGGCAACGACGCGACGCGUUCGGCAUGGCCGAAGAAGAGUUUCGAAGGCAUUUUAGUCUCUCCAAAGACAUAGUGCGACGUCUUUGCGAUGAGCUGGAAGGACAUCUCGGACCUCAAAGAUUGCGUGGUGUCGACACUACGAUGAAAGUGCUGUGCGCGCUGCGGUUUUUUGCCACCGGGAGCUUUCAACAGCGCGUCGGGAAUGAAGAAGCGAUUGCACUGUCGUAGCCUUCGGUCAGCCGGAUCAUUACAGCCGUCGCCAAGGCCAUUACGGUUGUGGGCAAGGAAAAAGGAUGGGUUAGAUUCCCAUCCACGGCGCAACAGAAAGCCGCCGUCAAGGAAGGCUUUCUUAGCCGUGGAAAAAUUCCAGGAGUUCUAGGAUGUGUGGACGGGAGUCUGAUAGCCAUCGUUCGCCCUAAGAAGCUCGGCCCCGGCGAAACGGAAUCGUACUGGAGCCGUAAAGGCUAUUACACCCUCAACUGCAUGGUCGUGUGCGACGCGAAGCUGAAUAUCCUGGAAAUUGACCCACGGUUUCCGGGAUCGUGCCACGAUUCAUUCGUCUGGAGGCAUUCUACAUUUCGCCGCCGCCUCACUCGUGGCCUGUUACUUCAUGGAGAAGUCUUGCUUGGGGACUCUGGGUACCGGCUCGCGCCAUGGAUCAUGACUCCUGUGCCUGGUCACCCAAAUCGCCUCACGGCAGAGGGGCGCUAUAAUGAGGCACACGCAUCAAUGCGAAAUGCCGUUGAGCGGUGCAUAGGAGUCGUCAAGAGCCGCUUCCGAUGCCUGCAGAUGUAUCGGGUGCUCCACUACUCGCUUCAGAAAGCAGCCACUAUUGUUGCAGCUUGUGCAGCGCUGCAUAACCUCUGCCUUGCAGCAGGCGUGCCUCUGCCAGACGACCCAGAUGAUGACGGUGCACAUGACGACAGCGCACAGCGGCCAGCCCAGGCACAAGUGCCGCUUCAAGUACAGGUGCCACCGCAGGCGCACCCUGUACAGCCUUCUCGAGCUUUGUUUCAAUGAGGCCGUGCGGUGCGCGAAUCCAUAGUUGGUGUGUUUCGGCUGCCCAGAAAUUUGCGCAUUGCGUACCUGCAAAGUGUGCGCCGGCGCAUUCGCUGGCAAAUGAGGCGGAGACAUGUGCUGGUGGAACAUGUUUUAUUUUUCUUUUCAUGAAGUAAAUAGGCCGUGCACUUCAACAUAACACAUUGCGUGUGCUCACAUGUGGCUAAUCGUAGUAUGCUGCAUACUGCGGUAGUGAAAAGCACAUGAUUUGUCUAUGUUGAGCAUGACAGAUACACAUGCAGUGACAAAUAGCCAUGUGCCAUUAUGUUACUCUUUUGCUUUGUUCACUGUGCUUUUAAAUAUUGUCUUGCCAGGGCAUUUUCUUUAAAUAAAGGUUAUUUCCAAGGUGAAUGGCAACCAAUCUUGCAUAGUUGAAUAUUGCUUUGCGAUGCCUAUUUUACUGUGCAGUAUGCAUUGUUCCAAAGCUGAAGGUGUCUGUUCAUGUGUGACACACAAGCACAGCACAAGUUGCACAGCAACUGAAAUGUCGUUCAAAGCAAUCUGUAUAGCACAUAUUGAAACGUAUAGCAACAAACGAGACAUGCCAAGCACUUUUUGGAGCAGGAUUUCUUUACAUAGCAGACACUCAUGCUUACUACUGCUUUGUUUAAACUCAAGAGUUGCUUCAACAUUGCAUUUCUUGCACGCAUGAUUUCACAUAAUGCUCGUAAUUGCUGCUUAACAAGGUGCAACUACGCUAUAACACAAUAUAAACAAAAUCAUGACAAUGAAACAUUUCUUUAUUUUAUUCACUGGGUACCUGCUUUGCCAUUCAGGCAUUACAGCAGGGAGGGUACAACUCAUAUAAAUGAACACUCAAAAUUACAUUCAUAAAGCAUGGAAGAAAUCAUCAUUUGAACAAAUACAGACAGUGUCAGGUGGUAGAGUAUUUCAAUCUCUUAUAGUACGAACAUAGAAAGAGUAGCGGAAAGCGUCGCUUUUAACCUUCUAUUGCAUGGCGUCCCAUAUUUGGCACAUACCAGUUACCAUUCUUUUUCGCGUGUGCGAGAUUCCCAGUUGAGAAUGUGAUACCAUCGGAGUAAAUCUCAUAGUUAUGCGCACUUAUUAUGGGCAAGUGCUGCCAUCUCUUGAGCGAUACGCAAAACAGAGGUGAAGUAGAUUUUGGGAUGCAACGUGAAACUUGGAGGGGGCAAACACGAGCAAUUGGUUUUUUUUUCUCUGAAAAUUUCGACCGCAGAAGCAUAGAAAAAUUAUUUUGGCAUAUUUUUUGGUCUCGUCAAUUCAAGGCAGUUACUAGUUUUCUCAAUUUUGCCUGCAACUACAGCAGAGAAACCGAAAUCGGUGUGUGCCAUAUUUGGCACAGUAUGAACUUGAAAUACAAAAUAUGGUAACGUGCUGCCAUCUGUUCAAUAGCCCGAAGUUGCAGGUCACUCUAUCACAAGAUGGAAUUUUGACGAUCGGUACGGUAAGGGCGAAUUGUCUACCAAACAGCCGCCUGAAAAGCGAAAAGGAACUGAAAUGUAAAGGACGUGGUGCUUCAGA